Molecule: transfer RNA, 68 nt
Filed under: Nabicula flavomarginata
Lineage: Eukaryota; Metazoa; Arthropoda; Insecta; Hemiptera; Nabidae
Description: tRNA-Thr
Rfam family: tRNA
About the family: Transfer RNA (tRNA) molecules are approximately 80 nucleotides in length. Their secondary structure includes four short double-helical elements and three loops (D, anti-codon, and T loops).
Source: RNAcentral
GCUUUAAUAGUUUAAUUAAAAAAAUAAUGAUCUUGUAAAUCAUAGAUAAGUACAUCACUUUUAAAGCA